Molecule: ribosomal RNA, 859 nt
Filed under: Curvularia spicifera
Lineage: Eukaryota; Fungi; Ascomycota; Dothideomycetes; Pleosporales; Pleosporaceae
Description: eukaryotic LSU rRNA
Rfam family: Eukaryotic large subunit ribosomal RNA
Source: RNAcentral
ACCAACAGGGAUUGCCCUAGUAACGGCGAGUGAAGCGGCAACAGCUCAAAUUUGAAAUCUGGCUCUUUCAGAGUCCGAGUUGUAAUUUGCAGAGGGCGCUUUGGCUUUGGCAGCGGUCCAAGUUCCUUGGAACAGGACGUCACAGAGGGUGAGAAUCCCGUACGUGGUCGCUAGCUAUUGCCGUGUAAAGCCCCUUCGACGAGUCGAGUUGUUUGGGAAUGCAGCUCUAAAUGGGAGGUAAAUUUCUUCUAAAGCUAAAUAUUGGCCAGAGACCGAUAGCGCACAAGUAGAGUGAUCGAAAGAUGAAAAGCACUUUGGAAAGAGAGUCAAACAGCACGUGAAAUUGUUGAAAGGGAAGCGCUUGCAGCCAGACUUGCUUGCAGUUGCUCAUCCGGGCUUUUGCCCGGUGCACUCUUCUGCAGGCAGGCCAGCAUCAGUUUGGGCGGUGGGAUAAAGGUCUCUGUCACGUACCUUCCUUCGGGUUGGCCUUAUAGGGGAGACGCCAUACCACCAGCCUGGACUGAGGUCCGCGCAUCUGCUAGGAUGCUGGCGUAAUGGCUGUAAGCGGCCCGUCUUGAAACACGGACCAAGGAGUCUAACAUCUAUGCGAGUGUUUGGGUGUCAAGCCCGAGCGCGUAAUGAAAGUGAACGGAGGUGGGAACCCGCAAGGGUGCACCAUCGACCGAUCCUGAAGUUUACGGAAGGAUUUGAGUAAGAGCAUGGCUGUUGGGACCCGAAAGAUGGUGAACUAUGCUUGAAUAGGGUGAAGCCAGAGGAAACUCUGGUGGAGGCUCGCAGCGGUUCUGACGUGCAAAUCGAUCGUCAAAUUUGGGCAUAGGGGCGAAAGACUAAUCGAACU